This 1268-nucleotide ribosomal RNA is filed under the name uncultured bacterium. RNAcentral's name for it is "partial 16S ribosomal RNA". It matches the Rfam family "Bacterial small subunit ribosomal RNA", at positions 104 to 1367 of the family's 1533-position model. The record is from RNAcentral.
GGGUGAGUAAUACAUCGGAACGUACCCAGUAAUGGGGGAUAACACACCGAAAGGUGUGCUAAUACCGCAUACGCCCUGAGGGGGAAAGGGGGGGAUCGCAAGACCUCUCGUUAUUGGAGCGGCCGAUGGCGGAUUAGCUAGUUGGUGAGGUAAAGGCUCACCAAGGCGACGAUCCGUAGCUGGUCUGAGAGGACGACCAGCCACACUGGAACUGAGACACGGUCCAGACUCCUACGGGAGGCAGCAGUGGGGAAUUUUGGACAAUGGGGGCAACCCUGAUCCAGCCAUUCCGCGUGAGUGAAGAAGGCCUUCGGGUUGUAAAGCUCUUUCGGCAGGAACGAAACGGCGCGCUCUAACAUAGCGUGUCAAUGACGGUACCUGAAGAAGAAGCACCGGCUAACUACGUGCCAGCAGCCGCGGUAAUACGUAGGGUGCGAGCGUUAAUCGGAAUUACUGGGCGUAAAGCGUGCGCAGGCGGUUCUAUAAGACAGAUGUGAAAUCCCCGGGCUUAACCUGGGAACUGCGUUUGUGACUGUAGGACUCGAGUGUGGCAGAGGGGGGUGGAAUUCCACGUGUAGCAGUGAAAUGCGUAGAGAUGUGGAGGAACACCGAUGGCGAAGGCAGCCCCCUGGGUCAACACUGACGCUCAUGCACGAAAGCGUGGGUAGCAAACAGGAUUAGAUACCCUGGUAGUCCACGCCCUAAACGAUGCCAACUAGGUGUUGGGGAAGGAGACUUCCUUAGUAUCGUAGCUAACGCGUGAAGUUGGCCGCCUGGGGAGUACGGUCGCAAGAUUAAAACUCAAAGGAAUUGACGGGGACCCGCACAAGCGGUGGAUGAUGUGGAUUAAUUCGAUGCAACGCGAAAAACCUUACCUACCCUUGACAUGUCAGGAAUCCUGCUGAGAGGUGGGAGUGCCCGAAAGGGAACCUGAACACAGGUGCUGCAUGGCUGUCGUCAGCUCGUGUCGUGAGAUGUUGGGUUAAGUCCCGCAACGAGCGCAACCCUUGUCGCUAAUUGCCAUCAUUCAGUUGGGCACUUUAGCGAGACUGCCGGUGACAAACCGGAGGAAGGUGGGGAUGACGUCAAGUCCUCAUGGCCCUUAUGGGUAGGGCUUCACACGUCAUACAAUGGUCGGUACAGAGGGUUGCCAAGCCGCGAGGUGGAGCCAAUCCCACAAAGCCGAUCGUAGUCCGGAUCGCAGUCUGCAACUCGACUCCAUGAAGUCGGAAUCGCUAGUAAUCGCGGAUCAGCAUGUCGCGGUGAAU